Molecule: ribosomal RNA, 254 nt
Filed under: uncultured bacterium
Lineage: Bacteria
Description: partial 16S ribosomal RNA
Rfam family: Bacterial small subunit ribosomal RNA
Source: RNAcentral
UACGUAGGGGGCGAGCGUUGUCCGGAUUUAUUGGGCGUAAAGAGCUCGUAGGCGGUUUGGUAAGUCGGGUGUGAAAUCUCCACGCUCAACGUGGAGGGGCCACUCGAUACUGCCAUGACUCGAGUCCGGUAGAGGAGUGUGGAAUUCCCGGUGUAGCGGUGAAAUGCGCAGAUAUCAGGAGGAACACCGGUGGCGAAGGCGGUUCUCUGGGCAUUACCUGACGCUGAGGAGCGAAAGCAUGGGGAGCAAACAGG